Long non-coding RNA from Oncorhynchus tshawytscha (Chinook salmon), 579 nucleotides. The record is from Ensembl. Lineage: Eukaryota; Metazoa; Chordata; Actinopteri; Salmoniformes; Salmonidae.
CCAUCAUAAGUGAAAACAUGCAUCAGAUUAUUGAAAAGUCUUGAAGCUGAAAUCCCCCCCCCCUUCUGUUACACAGGUUCAUUAUAGGAGGAUGCAACCUGUGUGGUAAAGACAGAGACUGCUCCCUCCAUUGGGUAAGGUUGUCCUUUCCUCCUGAAUCCUCACUAUUCUGGAAUUAAACCUCCCUCUUUCUUUGGACUGACAAGUCCAUUGUAUUUCAGCUGUCUGUCACAGCCUGAUCAUUAUAAAUACAGGAUCAACAUGGCAGACUGAUUGACAGGUCCAGUUGUUUGGCAGUUUCAGAUUAAGAUGUUCUCUGUUCCAGGAACAUUUGAGUCAUUUAGUAUAAUGUUCUUAUCCAGAGUGACUCACAGUCAGUGUAUUGAACUAAGCUAGGCUACCACAGUCAUUGUAUUAAACUAAGCUAGGCUACCACAUAUCACAGUCAGUGUAUUAAACUAAGCUAGGCUACCACAUAUCACAGUCAUUGUAUUGAACUAAGCUAGGCUAGGCUAUCACAGUCAGUUGUAUUAAACUAAGCUAGGCUACCACAUAUCACAGUCAGUGUAUUAAACUAAG